RNAcentral lists this long non-coding RNA (222 nucleotides) under Mytilus galloprovincialis (Mediterranean mussel). The record is from RNAcentral. Lineage: Eukaryota; Metazoa; Mollusca; Bivalvia; Mytilida; Mytilidae.
UUUACAACAAAACAAAAGUUUUUUUUAUUCACUUGACAUUGAUCCCUCAUGUAAGGUGUAGUCAUAACAUUGAAGGGUUAUUAUCAUUCGAGGGGUUGUUCCAAUCGUUUCAAUAAAUUUCUUCAUAACGACAGUUUUCUUUUCUAGACCAUCGUAAAUACAUGUGUAAGUAAAACUAUGCUUGAAACACGUGACUCACUGAAACGACCUUAAAAUACCCAC